GAUGAACGCUGGCGGCGUGCCUAAUACAUGCAAGUCGAGCGAACGGACGAGAAGCUUGCUCCUCUGAUGUUAGCGGCUGACGGGUGAGUAACACGUGGAUAACCUACCUAUAAGACUGGGAUAACUUCGGGAAACCGGAGCUAAUACCGGAUAAUAUGUUGAACCGCAUGGUUCAAAAGUGAAAGACGGUCUUGCUGUCACUUAUAGAUGGAUCCGCGCUGCAUUAGCUAGUUGGUAAGGUAACGGCUUACCAAGGCAACGAUGCGUAGCCGACCUGAGAGGGUGAUCGGCCACACUGGAACUGAGACACGGUCCAGACUCCUACGGGAGGCAGCAGUAGGGAAUCUUCCGCAAUGGGCGAAAGCCUGACGGAGCAACGCCGCGUGAGUGAUGAAGGUCUUCGGAUCGUAAAACUCUGUUAUUAGGGAAGAACAUAUGUGUAAGUAACUGUGCACGUCUUGACGGUACCUAAUCAGAAAGCCACGGCUAACUACGUG
This 497-nucleotide ribosomal RNA is filed under the name uncultured bacterium. RNAcentral's name for it is "partial 16S ribosomal RNA". It matches the Rfam family "Bacterial small subunit ribosomal RNA", at positions 28 to 507 of the family's 1533-position model. The record is from RNAcentral.